ACAUUUGUGUUAUCCGAUCCAGUUGCGAUGAUCGCAAUUUUGCGCUAGCAACGCCGUUGUUUUUUUUUAAUUCAUAUUUUUUUUUAUAUACAUAUAUUUAGAUCUGCACAUUUUUUUUCAUAACUAACUACCCUGAUUUUUCCUAAACCCUGACAAUUUCGCCACAAACUCUAAAUUUCAAACCUAAAACUUUAACCGUGUUGUUUCCUCUAAACCAUAAACCUUUUCUUAAACCUUAACAAACCUUAUUAUUAUUUCCUAUUUUCGCUCAUAUUUAUGUUAUUCAUACACUGUAACUGCUUCGCCCUUGUAAUAUUUUAAGUUUUAACUUGUAAUAUUUUCAGUUUUACUUUUCGCCAUCUUUAUUAUGUAACUGCACCAAAGCGUUG
This 389-nucleotide long non-coding RNA is filed under the name Lathyrus oleraceus (garden pea). RNAcentral describes it as "Pisum sativum (pea) long non-coding RNA (PSAT_LNC018318)". The record is from RNAcentral. Lineage: Eukaryota; Viridiplantae; Streptophyta; Magnoliopsida; Fabales; Fabaceae.